GUAUCCACGCAAUUCAUCCAUUUAUUCCUCAAGCAUGUGUUAAGCGUUUGGCGAUGCUUCACGAUGUUGGACUCUGGACAUUCACAGAAGAUGAACACAUCUCACAAAAGGAGCAUGUGACAGCCUGCAUGACCGGAGCCAAUGGUGAAUGUUUAAAUUCUGGGUCCCGAAGCAAUAUCUUGGGAAGGGCCUUCCUCUGUCCCACAGCUUCUAAAAAUGUUCUGUGCUUAUAGUAUUGGCUCAGUUUUGUGGAUGUGUUUCUGGGAUUAUUCAGUGACCUCAGACAGGCUGCUCCAAGUCUCCCUGGACCACCUGCGUAGUUCAGCCAUAUUCUACAGUGAGCACUUAGAACAGGACAUGCAGGGGCUACACAGGCAUCAAGGCUGGCUGAUUCCACAGAGCAAGAAUGUCAACAAGGAUCCAGCUUAUUUUUGCCUCUUCACCCCACCAUCUUUUAUGUCAGCCUCGUCCUCAGGGAAGUAGGAUGCAACAGUUCCAGCUGGACACGACAAUACUCACAGGAAGACGAAAGAGACUCUUAUUGCUGCUGUAUCGUGGGAACCUUGUCCCCGAUGCCCAUCAGGGUCAACUAUUUACAUGGGAAGGAAAAACAUACCCCGCAACUACAACCUGAUGUCAGUACCAAGAGCAGUAUGCAAACGACUAUUACGGGCGCUCAGAAGCAUCACAAUGGAAGGGAAGUUGCAGCUGCCUAUACCCACACCCACAUCUUGUCUACCUGCCUGCUGCGUCACAGCCUGGCUGCAUUACUGGGCUCACUUCAGUUCCAAGAAAGCUUCCAGAAAUCAUGGCAGGCACACCUGCAGUGAGCAGAUCUGUGUCUACUUGUCCUUUAAGUGGACACCACUUUUCUGUUCAGAGCACAGAUCAAUGUGUCAGACAGAGCUCUUGGAUGACAAUAUUGUCCUGGCAGGGAUCCAGAGCGGCUGGGGAUAGAGAAUAUUAAAUGGGUCUGGUGCAGAACAGUUGAGGUGUGACUGGAUGUGACAGAGGACAGCACCUCUUUGACAAUGACAUUAUGUGAGUUUGGGUGGGCUCUCAGCUCAGGUUUCAGAUGGCCAGGCAUCUGUUGCUGGCCGCCAUUCUGUUGACAUUUUACAUUUUGUGACCAUAAAUUAACUUUGGAAGAAGUUGAUAGACAAGUAGGUCAUUAUUUGGGUGUUCCUGUGUUUCUCAUAACAUUUUAAAUUCAGUCAGGGCAGAAAAUAUAUAUGUCUUUCCUUUAUACCAUUACCCUAAUCCCUGGCACAUGGUGGGUUUCCUCUUGACUUUAGUGGAACGUGCCUGGACCUUAACAAUCCCAACACCCCACCUUCCCCGCAACCCUGUCUUCUUCCCCAUCUCUCCAGCUGGCUUCCUGCCUUGUUUUCUCCUCACAUAGAUUUAACAGAUGCUCUGAGCCCCGCAGUGCACUUCAGUUCUAUUCUCUGCACUCGCCAUGGCACUUGGCACCAUUAACUGCAGCUCUCUCUGCCUUGACAUCUGCACCCCACUCUCCCCUGUGUGUUUUUUCUUUGGGGGUUUCUUAUCAGGCGCCUCUUCUUUAAAUGCUUGUUUUCCUUUGAGCCCUGUCCAAAGCUCUAGGUUCCAUUUUCCACUUUCUACGUUCUAUCUGGUCCUUCAUUCAAAUUUACAGCUCACAUCUCUGCUUUUGCCUCUAGCCCAGAUCUCUCUCUCUCUCUCUCUCUCUCUCUCUCUCUCUGUCUUUCAAACCUUACACAACUUGAGACAUCUUCACUCACAUAUCCUGCAGGUACACCGAACUCAACAUGGUCAAUACAGGAGACAGUCUCUCACCCCAAAAUGGAAUUUCUCUCUUUUUAAAGGAAACCAGCAUUCAUAAGCCAGAAGCCAAUCUGGAUUUUGUCUGGAAACUCAAGUAUAAGACCUAGCACCACUUGCCAAGGACCUCUGCUUUGCUUUGGUAGGCCAAGGGUCUGGCUCUGUUACCCAGGCUGGAUUGCAGUGGUGCAAUCUCGGCUCCUGUAACCUUCACCUCCUGUAACCUUCACCUCCUGGGCUCAACCCAUCCUCUGGCCUCAGCCUCCUGAGGAACUGGGACUUACAGGUGUGCCACCACACACAGCAAUUUUUUUUUUUUUUGUAUUUUUGGUAGAGAUGGGGUUUCAUCAUGUUGGUCAGGCUGGUCUCUAACUCCUGGGCUCAAGUGAUCUGCCCAUCUCAGCCUCCCAAAGUGCUGGGAUUAUAGGCGUGAGCCACCGCACCAAGCCCUACUUUGUAUUUUGAAUAGAAGCAACAGCAGUGAUGGGAUUCGUACUCCAAACCUCAGCGUCACACAACAUUCCCAUGCAGCAAAUCUGC
RNAcentral lists this long non-coding RNA (2343 nucleotides) under Homo sapiens (human). Its description in RNAcentral is "non-protein coding lnc-GNG2-1:3". The record is from RNAcentral. Lineage: Eukaryota; Metazoa; Chordata; Mammalia; Primates; Hominidae.